This 433-nucleotide ribosomal RNA is filed under the name uncultured bacterium. RNAcentral's name for it is "bacterial SSU rRNA". It matches the Rfam family "Bacterial small subunit ribosomal RNA", at positions 28 to 477 of the family's 1533-position model. The record is from RNAcentral.
GACGAACGCUGGCGGCGUGCUUAACACAUGCAAGUCGAACGGUGAAGGGAAGCUUGCUUCCCGGAUCAGUGGCGAACGGGUGAGUAACACGUGGGCAAUCUGCCCCAGACUUUGGGAUAACUACUCGAAAGAGUAGCUAAUACCGAAUAUUCAGCCUUGCAGGCAUCUGCGAGGCUGGAAAGUUUCUCGGUCUGGGAUGAGCCCGCGGCCUAUCAGCUAGUUGGUGAGGUAAUGGCUCACCAAGGCGACGACGGGUAGCCGGCCUGAGAGGGCGACCGGCCACACUGGGACUGAGACACGGCCCAGACUCCUACGGGAGGCAGCAGUGGGGAAUAUUGCGCAAUGGGCGAAAGCCUGACGCAGCAACGCCGCGUGCGGGAUGAAGGCCUGGUUGUAACGACGUUCUAGCAGGAAGAAGACGAAGUAGACGGUA